RNAcentral lists this ribosomal RNA (451 nucleotides) under uncultured bacterium. Its description in RNAcentral is "partial 16S ribosomal RNA". It matches the Rfam family "Bacterial small subunit ribosomal RNA", at positions 39 to 523 of the family's 1533-position model. The record is from RNAcentral.
ACGGUAUGCUUAACACAUGCAAGUCGAACGGACUCAGGGAGCUUGCUCCCGAAAGUUAGUGGCAGACGGGUGAGUAACGCGUGGGAAUCUGCCUAUCAGUACGGGAUAACAUUUGGAAACAAAUGCUAAUACCGCAUACGCUCUUCGGAGGAAAGAUUUAUCGCUGAUAGAUGAGCCCGCGUAAGAUUAGGUAGUUGGUAGGGUAAUGGCCUACCAAGCCGACGAUCUUUAGCUGGUCUGAGAGGAUGAUCAGCCACACUGGGACUGAGACACGGCCCAGACUCCUACGGGAGGCAGCAGUGGGGAAUAUUGGACAAUGGGCGAAAGCCUGAUCCAGCAAUACCGCGUGAGUGAUGAAGGCCUUAGGGUUGUAAAGCUCUUUCAGUUGGAAAGAUAAUGACGGUACCAACAGAAGAAGCACCGGCUAACUACGUGCCAGCCGCCGCCGUAA